Molecule: long non-coding RNA, 991 nt
Filed under: Olea europaea (common olive)
Lineage: Eukaryota; Viridiplantae; Streptophyta; Magnoliopsida; Lamiales; Oleaceae
Description: long non-coding RNA (OEUR_LNC004486)
Source: RNAcentral
UACUAUGGUGAAAAUCACACUAACGGCUUAUCAUACAUAUUUAAGAAGCUAAUAUCUAGCCCACAAUUUCAGAGGUACAGUGAAUUUGCAAACAUUAUCCCUCGACGAAGGCUCUCACUAGCUGCUGUAAACUUGUUCUCUAAAUCAGCUUCUCCGACAGCAUUAGCAGCAGCUUUCAACUGGAAAAACCCGAAAAGGGGGGGAAGAGGAAGAUAAUAAAUUGUAUUAUGGGUAUUAUGAUCCAACAGUCUCGAAAAACCAACUUUAUGCAGGUUAGGUAAUUGGUAUGCACUAUUAGGUCGUACUAACAGUCUAACGUGAAUAAGCAUCAUCUAUUUGGCAUACACGGAUCAGAGUUGUCCAGCCAUCUGUUGGCCUGAAGUAGAGAAUGCAUAUAUAUCUUUACAGAAAGGGGCCAAAAUAGUCCAGGAAUAGAGGCACCCAACAAUUCGUGCAUCCUAUCCUAACAUUUGCUAGAAAGUCUCAACAAUUAUAUUUCACUUUCUUCAAAUCAUUAAAUGCAUGUUAAUCUCAUAUUGGAAAAAGGCUCCGUUGAAUUGGUUUGCAUUACUAUGCCUGUUUAUUCACCUAUUUAUAAACUUUUGCUCGAAUGACAAAUUCAUAGGAUUUAUGAAAAAAAUCGAUUGGAUUACCUGGUUUAAAAAUUCAUCCAGCCUUCUAGCUUGUCGUAUAAUGCUACCUUCAAAGAUAUCUGUCUUUUCUGUAACUUCUUUAAAAGAUUUUCCCUUAAAAAAGAAAAUUUAAAGGAACAAUGAGUUUAAACAUGAUAAGUACCAACAUAGUUUAGCAUUCUAACUAAAAAGAUGAAUUGACUCAAAACCAAGCAAUCGAUUCAAGUUGUUUUUACAAAUAAAUAUAUACAAAAAUCCUCAAAAAAUAACAGUUAUACCCAAAGUGAUAAAUUAGAGGCAUAAAAUCUUAAUUAGUGUAGAAUAACCAGCGAUCUACUGAGAAAAAAAGGAAGGUACUA